Molecule: unclassified non-coding RNA, 293 nt
Filed under: uncultured fungus
Lineage: Eukaryota; Fungi
Description: partial contains 5.8S ribosomal RNA, internal transcribed spacer 2, and large subunit ribosomal RNA
Source: RNAcentral
AACGCACAUUGCGCCUCUUGGUAUUCCGGGAGGCACGCCUGUUCGAGCGCCAUUACGAACCCCAAGCGUGGCUUGAUGUUGGGCGAUGUCUUUUACAAUCGAAAAAGGGACACGCCUGGAACGCGUUGACGCCGGCGGCGGACCACGAGCGUAGCAGGACGAAAGUCGAUCGCUCUGUUGGACUCUGUCGGACGGUUUGUCUUGUGUCUUGAAGCACUCGAGAGAUCGAGGGUGGAGAGAAAAACCCACAAAAGUUUGGCCUCGGAUCAGGCGGGGAUACCCGCUGAACUUAA